CCGAUGGAGGGGGAUAACUACUGGAAACGGUAGCUAAUACCGCAUAACGUCGCAAGACCAAAGAGGGGGACCUUAGGGCCUCUUGCCAUCGGAUGUGCCCAGAUGGGAUUAGCUAGUAGGUGGGGUAAUGGCUCACCUAGGCGACGAUCCCUAGCUGGUCUAAGAGGAUGACCAGCCACACUGGAACUGAGACACGGUCCAG
This 202-nucleotide ribosomal RNA is filed under the name uncultured bacterium. RNAcentral describes it as "partial 16S ribosomal RNA". It matches the Rfam family "Bacterial small subunit ribosomal RNA", at positions 130 to 334 of the family's 1533-position model. The record is from RNAcentral.